Molecule: ribosomal RNA, 407 nt
Filed under: uncultured bacterium
Lineage: Bacteria
Description: partial 16S ribosomal RNA
Rfam family: Bacterial small subunit ribosomal RNA
Source: RNAcentral
GACGAACGCUGGCGGCGUGCCUAAUACAUGCAAGUAGGACGCAGUUGCGAACGGGUGAGUAACGCGUAGGUAACUACCUAUUAGAGGGGGCUAACUAUUGGAAACGAUAGCUAAUACCGCCUACUAGUAGAUGGACCUGCGUUGUAUUAGCUAGUAGGUAGGGUAAUGGCCUACCUAGGCAACGAUACAUAGCCGGCCGUGGAGGGUGGUCGGCCACACUGGGACUGAGACACGGGCCAGACUCCUACGGGAGGCAGCAGUAGGGAAACUUCGGCAAUGGGGGGAAACCUGACCGAGCAACGCCGGGGGAGGGAAGAAGGUUUUCGGAUUGUAAAACUCUGUUGUUAAGGAAGCGGUACUUAACCAGAAAGGAACGGCUAACUACGUGCCAGCAGCCGCGGUAAUAC